RNAcentral lists this ribosomal RNA (1808 nucleotides) under Triticum aestivum (bread wheat). RNAcentral describes it as "partial small subunit ribosomal RNA". Lineage: Eukaryota; Viridiplantae; Streptophyta; Magnoliopsida; Poales; Poaceae. The record is from RNAcentral.
CAGCCGUCCGUUUAGUGGUAGAUAAAGCAUUUACUAUCUCUGUAAACUUUUAUAAGACGUUUUAGUUUAGAUCACUAAAACGUUUUAUAAAAGUUUACAGAGGGGGUAGAAUGAAAGGCGCGGUUCGUGCUGUCAUACUGUAUGACAGCUCCAGAUGAGGGAUGGUUCGAACUGUUUUCUUCUCGUCUACCGUCAUUCCGUCGAAGAUCCUGAAAGGCAUGGUCCGCGGACCUUGGUGGCACAAAGUGUGCCCGUUGGCGCUUCCGACGGACGUGGAACACUUGCUGCCCGUCGCUGUCCUUUCUCCUUUGGUUAAGGUGUGGAGAGUAGACUCGAGAGACCAAGUUGGAGACCACGAAAGUCAUGGUCCUCGCUGGCACGAGUGUGCCCGUUGGUUCUUCUUGUGACGGAUGACGUGGAAGAGCUGCUGCCCGUCGCUGUCCUUUCUCCUCCUUCGAUUUUUUUUUUGAAUAUUGGCAGGUGAACUGCCAAAUUCAUUGAUCAGAAGAAGGUGUUACAAGAAUCCUCAGAGGAGGAAAGCACUGCAAAGGCAGCGCAAAAAGAAAAGAAAGAAAAGCCCUGUCGGCAGCACGACAAACACAGGCUCUACCAUCAAACGUGAACACCAUCGGAACCCAUCGGCGGGAUCACCAAGAUGACGCCUCCAAGGAGGAAAACGAAGUUGAGGACUCCGCCGUCAUCCGAUCUGGCAUUGGCCGAUCUUAGGUUUUCACCCGGAGAUCUCACGCAGUUGGGAGGGAAGGGCAAACGACUCCACAACGAUACCUCCAAGGAGGAAGACGACAUCCGUGGAUGCCGUUACCGCCAGCAACGACAGAGUCGAUGCAUGAUUUUCAUCCGGAGCCGAGUCUUCCACCAACAAUCCAAGGAUCCGAGGCCACCAGCUCCACAAUGCAACAAGAGCCCAAACCAACACUACUAGAAACGAAUUGGUCAAGCCGCAUGCAGGAACUCGGCGAGCACACGCCAACCCGGCCGGUCUGCACCGCCGCUCGCAGGCCCUGGGCGAACCAAGCCGUAUCUGGCCAUCCUCUACCUCCGUGCGCAGAACUGGGCGAUCCUCCGCACCGCAGCGCACAUGAAGGCCGAGGGAGAGCCAAACAUAGCCGGUCAGCACCACCGCGCGCAGGACUGGGCAGGAUCCAGGCCAAACUGUGCAGCUCGCACCACCGCGCGCAAGAACAGGACUAUUCGUGCUAGAUCUGGCCUGUCCGGGCCUUCUGUAGCACACGACAAACUGAACGGCGCCACAGCUCCAGGAGCCGGACGUGGACGCGCUUGAAGGAGAGACAACCACCAACCAUCCCCGACACCACCGCUACAGCCACCACACAUCGCCGGACUAGGCGCGAAACGCAGCCACACUCCAACGGCGCCUGAUGCCACCUCGAGCCAUCCCUCCAGCCACAGGUUGGCAGAGGUCAGAUCUGGCCAGAACCAACCGCAGCGCCCCCGCACCCCCACUGUGCCCAAACGAGCAGCAGGUGCCAGCAAAGGCAUCCGCAACCCACGCGCCACGCCCGAUGCGGGCAGCCUCGCGCCAUGGCACCAGCUCGCCGCACACCCCGGCGCCAACUCGCCGCGCCCGUCGCGCACCCCGACGCCAUCUCGCCGCGCCCGCCGCGCCAUCUCGCCACCGUCGCCGCGCCCGCCGCGCACCCCGACGCCAUCUCGCCGCGCCCGUCGCGACCACCGGCACCGGUUCGCCGCGCGCCUCCACGCCUCUCCUCGGCCGAGCGGCCCCGCGCUGCCCGACCUCGCUGGAGGAAAGAAAAAACGGAAGGCCC